Molecule: ribosomal RNA, 2629 nt
Filed under: Salmonella enterica subsp. enterica serovar Enteritidis
Lineage: Bacteria; Pseudomonadati; Pseudomonadota; Gammaproteobacteria; Enterobacterales; Enterobacteriaceae
Description: partial 23S ribosomal RNA
Rfam family: Bacterial large subunit ribosomal RNA
Source: RNAcentral
AAUCCAUAGGUUAAUGAGGCGAACCGGGGGAACUGAAACAUCUAAGUACCCCGAGGAAAAGAAAUCAACCGAGAUUCCCCCAGUAGCGGCGAGCGAACGGGGAGGAGCCCAGAGCCUGAAUCAGCAUGUGUGUUAGUGGAAGCGUCUGGAAAGGCGCGCGAUACAGGGUGACAGCCCCGUACACAAAAGCGCAUGUGCUGUGAGCUCGAUGAGUAGGGCGGGACACGUGGUAUCCUGUCUGAAUAUGGGGGGACCAUCCUCCAAGGCUAAAUACUCCUGACUGACCGAUAGUGAACCAGUACCGUGAGGGAAAGGCGAAAAGAACCCCGGCGAGGGGAGUGAAAAAGAACCUGAAACCGUGUACGUACAAGCAGUGGGAGCACCCUUUGGGUGUGACUGCGUACCUUUUGUAUAAUGGGUCAGCGACUUAUAUUCUGUAGCAAGGUUAACCGAAUAGGGGAGCCGGAGGGAAACCGAGUCUUAACCGGGCGUUAAGUUGCAGGGUAUAGACCCGAAACCCGGUGAUCUAGCCAUGGGCAGGUUGAAGGUUGGGUAACACUAACUGGAGGACCGAACCGACUAAUGUUGAAAAAUUAGCGGAUGACCUGUGGCUGGGGGUGAAAGGCCAAUCAAACCGGGAGAUAGCUGGUUCUCCCCGAAAGCUAUUUAGGUAGCGCCUCGUGAAUUCAUCUCCGGGGGUAGAGCACUGUUUCGGCUAGGGGGCCAUCCCGGCUUACCAACCCGAUGCAAACUGCGAAUACCGGAGAAUGUUAUCACGGGAGACACACGGCGGGUGCUAACGUCCGUCGUGAAGAGGGAAACAACCCAGACCGCCAGCUAAGGUCCCAAAGUCAUGGUUAAGUGGGAAACGAUGUGGGAAGGCCCAGACAGCCAGGAUGUUGGCUUAGAAGCAGCCAUCAUUUAAAGAAAGCGUAAUAGCUCACUGGUCGAGUCGGCCUGCGCGGAAGAUGUAACGGGGCUAAACCAUGCACCGAAGCUGCGGCAGCGACACUGUGUGUUGUUGGGUAGGGGAGCGUUCUGUAAGCCUGUGAAGGUGUGUCGUGAGGCAUGCUGGAGGUAUCAGAAGUGCGAAUGCUGACAUAAGUAACGAUAAAGCGGGUGAAAAGCCCGCUCGCCGGAAGACCAAGGGUUCCUGUCCAACGUUAAUCGGGGCAGGGUGAGUCGACCCCUAAGGCGAGGCCGAAAGGCGUAGUCGAUGGGAAACGGGUUAAUAUUCCCGUACUUGGUGUUACUGCGAAGGGGGGACGGAGAAGGCUAUGUUGGCCGGGCGACGGUUGUCCCGGUUUAAGCGUGUAGGUGUGUGUUCCAGGUAAAUCCGGUUCACUUUAACACUGAGGCGUGACGACGAGGCACUACGGUGCUGAAGCAACAAAUGCCCUGCUUCCAGGAAAAGCCUCUAAGCAUCAGGUAACAUCAAAUCGUACCCCAAACCGACACAGGUGGUCAGGUAGAGAAUACCAAGGCGCUUGAGAGAACUCGGGUGAAGGAACUAGGCAAAAUGGUGCCGUAACUUCGGGAGAAGGCACGCUGACACGUAGGUGAAGUGAUUUACUCAUGGAGCUGAAGUCAGUCGAAGAUACCAGCUGGCUGCAACUGUUUAUUAAAAACACAGCACUGUGCAAACACGAAAGUGGACGUAUACGGUGUGACGCCUGCCCGGUGCCGGAAGGUUAAUUGAUGGGGUCAGCGCAAGCGAAGCUCCUGAUCGAAGCCCCGGUAAACGGCGGCCGUAACUAUAACGGUCCUAAGGUAGCGAAAUUCCUUGUCGGGUAAGUUCCGACCUGCACGAAUGGCGUAAUGAUGGCCAGGCUGUCUCCACCCGAGACUCAGUGAAAUUGAACUCGCUGUGAAGAUGCAGUGUACCCGCGGCAAGACGGAAAGACCCCGUGAACCUUUACUAUAGCUUGACACUGAACAUUGAGCCUUGAUGUGUAGGAUAGGUGGGAGGCUUUGAAGUGUGGACGCCAGUCUGCAUGGAGCCGACCUUGAAAUACCACCCUUUAAUGUUUGAUGUUCUAACGUGGACCCGUUACCCGGGUUGCGGACAGUGUCUGGUGGGUAGUUUGACUGGGGCGGUCUCCUCCUAAAGAGUAACGGAGGAGCACGAAGGUUGGCUAAUCCUGGUCGGACAUCAGGAGGUUAGUGCAAUGGCAUAAGCCAGCUUGACUGCGAGCGUGACGGCGCGAGCAGGUGCGAAAGCAGGUCAUAGUGAUCCGGUGGUUCUGAAUGGAAGGGCCAUCGCUCAACGGAUAAAAGGUACUCCGGGGAUAACAGGCUGAUACCGCCCAAGAGUUCAUAUCGACGGCGGUGUUUGGCACCUCGAUGUCGGCUCAUCACAUCCUGGGGCUGAAGUAGGUCCCAAGGGUAUGGCUGUUCGCCAUUUAAAGUGGUACGCGAGCUGGGUUUAGAACGUCGUGAGACAGUUCGGUCCCUAUCUGCCGUGGGCGCUGGAGAACUGAGGGGGGCUGCUCCUAGUACGAGAGGACCGGAGUGGACGCAUCACUGGUGUUCGGGUUGUCAUGCCAAUGGCACUGCCCGGUAGCUAAAUGCGGAAGAGAUAAGUGCUGAAAGCAUCUAAGCACGAAACUUGCCCCGAGAUGAGUUCUCC